GGUUUUGUCUUGAUUUCAUCGCUUAUGCAGAUACCCAAAUGUCCAAACUUGUUACUACUCAAGAAUUCAUUGCUUACAGCUUCGUCACCUUCAAAACCAUCCACUACAGUUGCUGGCUUGCUGCUACCCUCGUUGCUUCGUUUCAUUCUACGCCUGUUACCUAUGAAAAAUGGAAGAGCAAAUGGAAUUUUGUAAAGAAAGUGGAUGAUUUGAGGAAGAAGCUUAGGAUGUGAGGUCUUCGUUGCCAUCCAAUGUAUUGCACGAACUCGAGUAGAAUACAAGUUGUUUCUCUCCUUGCAUCUCGCGCACAGGCACUCAGACUGAAUGUCGCCAACAUAUGUGUGGUCAUCAGUGAAACUGGAGACUCAGAUUACAAGGAACUGAUAGCCGGGGCUCAUAAGACAUUGAUCAUGAAGGAAGUGGUGACAAACGAUUCUGAAGCAUUGCUCCGAACAACAGACUAGAGAAACGACAUCGUUAACAGUUCCUAGAUCAGCAGUAUUAGAGGUGGAGCAACGCCAGAGGAGCUUUCUGAAGCUUUAAAAGCAUUGUCUAAAGCUGGCCUCUGAAAGUUGUUGUUUAGAGCAUGAAAUGGUAGUUUAAUCUCCAUGUUGCAAACAAACAUUAUUGUUAAAUAC
Molecule: long non-coding RNA, 638 nt
Organism: Hibiscus syriacus
Lineage: Eukaryota; Viridiplantae; Streptophyta; Magnoliopsida; Malvales; Malvaceae
Exons: 3
Source: RefSeq, a predicted model, not a curated record